This 288-nucleotide ribosomal RNA is filed under the name uncultured bacterium. RNAcentral describes it as "partial 16S ribosomal RNA". It matches the Rfam family "Bacterial small subunit ribosomal RNA", at positions 773 to 1060 of the family's 1533-position model. The record is from RNAcentral.
GUGGAUUAGAUACCCGGGUAGUCCACGCCGUAAACGAUGGGCACUAGGUGUGGGAGGUGUCGACUCCUCCCGUGCCGGAGCUAACGCAUUAAGUGCCCCGCCUGGGGAGUACGGCCGCAAGGCUAAAACUCAAAGGAAUUGACGGGGGCCCGCACAAGCAGCGGAGCAUGUGGUUUAAUUCGACGCAACGCGAAGAACCUUACCUGGGUUUGACAUGUUCCUGACCGCCCUGGAAACAGGGCUUCCCUCACGGGCAGGAUCACAGGUGGUGCACGGUCGUCGACAACU